AGAAGGGGCUGCACUAAGCCUGGAAGGAGAUGGAGGCCUGGAGUUGUGGGAGAUGGUACAGGCCUGAUUCCUUUUCUUGGAGCCUAGGUUCUGCAGCAAGCUAUGGGAGAAUUAUCUGAAGUCAUGGGUUGGAGGUCGAUUGCCCAAAGAUGUAAAGAACCCACUAACUCCUCAAGUGGAAUAGAUAAAAUGUCAUCGGCAGUACCACGCAUGAGAAUGAUGAAAACUGAUCCACAGAAUCUACAUAUUUAGACUUACAUCAUGGCGAAGUUGCUGGAACCUCUUGCUGCAAUAUGUGCUAUAGUAUUUUAAAAUGAAACAUGAAGGCAGAAUGAAGGUGGCUCCAGAGAAUUUUAUGCCAACAACCUUCCCUGUCACUUUCUCAAAGUUGAAAAAUCUGAUGGAGUAUCGGAAGAAGAAAACAGAGGAAAAAAUAGAAGAAAUGGAUGGUAACAUUUUUAAAAUUUAGAUUGCUGGAAACUUCUUCCACAAAUGGUAUUGUUGACUCCCCUUAAGAAUUAGAAACAAGGAGAUCUGUAGUUGGAACUAAUGUUAUAUUCCCUUAAAAAACCCUGAUUCUCCUGGAACUAGUAUGGGAAACACUCCAGGAUACAACAUUGUAUUUCUUCAAAUUGCAACCCUCAUAUCAUUUGGACUUGCUUUUUAUUACUCACCUGGAGGAAGUGUUGAAGCCUGUCAUUUAAGUGAUAUUGGAAAAGAAGAUAGAACAUACUGAUUGGAUAGAAGGUGUCACAAUACCUAUGUCAGUUAUCUGUGUAGUGUUGGUAACUGCUUUCAAAGUCUGAAGAAAAACAAUUUCAGGGAUUGCAUUCUG
This 835-nucleotide long non-coding RNA is filed under the name Salvator merianae (Argentine black and white tegu). Its description in RNAcentral is "lncRNA (ENSSMRG00000008425.1)". Lineage: Eukaryota; Metazoa; Chordata; Lepidosauria; Squamata; Teiidae. The record is from RNAcentral.